This 491-nucleotide ribosomal RNA is filed under the name Campylobacter coli. RNAcentral's name for it is "bacterial SSU rRNA". It matches the Rfam family "Bacterial small subunit ribosomal RNA", at positions 1035 to 1533 of the family's 1533-position model. The record is from RNAcentral. Lineage: Bacteria; Pseudomonadati; Campylobacterota; Epsilonproteobacteria; Campylobacterales; Campylobacteraceae. RNAcentral also lists the same sequence under 1 other name.
CAGGUGCUGCACGGCUGUCGUCAGCUCGUGUCGUGAGAUGUUGGGUUAAGUCCCGCAACGAGCGCAACCCACGUAUUUAGUUGCUAACGGUUCGGCCGAGCACUCUAAAUAGACUGCCUUCGUAAGGAGGAGGAAGGUGUGGACGACGUCAAGUCAUCAUGGCCCUUAUGCCCAGGGCGACACACGUGCUACAAUGGCAUAUACAAUGAGACGCAAUACCGCGAGGUGGAGCAAAUCUAUAAAAUAUGUCCCAGUUCGGAUUGUUCUCUGCAACUCGAGAGCAUGAAGCCGGAAUCGCUAGUAAUCGUAGAUCAGCCAUGCUACGGUGAAUACGUUCCCGGGUCUUGUACUCACCGCCCGUCACACCAUGGGAGUUGAUUUCACUCGAAGCCGGAAUACUAAACUAGUUACCGUCCACAGUGGAAUCAGCGACUGGGGUGAAGUCGUAACAAGGUAACCGUAGGAGAACCUGCGGUUGGAUCACCUCCUUU